RNAcentral lists this ribosomal RNA (360 nucleotides) under uncultured bacterium. RNAcentral describes it as "bacterial SSU rRNA". It matches the Rfam family "Bacterial small subunit ribosomal RNA", at positions 29 to 414 of the family's 1533-position model. The record is from RNAcentral.
AACGAACGCUGGCGGCAGGCUUAACACAUGCAAGUCGAACGAACGUAGCAAUACGUUAGUGGCGCACGGGUGAGUAACACGUGGAUAUCUGCCUUUUGGUUCGGGAUAACCCUGGGAAACUAGGGCUAAUACCGAAUGGUUCCUACGGGAUAAAGAUUUAUCGCCAAAAGAUGAGUCCGCGUCCGAUUAGCUAGUUGGUGGGGUAAUGGCUCACCAAGGCGACGAUCGGUAGCUGGUCUGAGAGGACGAUCAGCCACACUGGGACUGAGACACGGCCCAGACUCCUACGGGAGGCAGCAGUGGGGAAUAUUGGACAAUGGGGGCAACCCUGAUCCAGCCAUGCCGCGUGAGUGAUGAAGG